This 459-nucleotide ribosomal RNA is filed under the name Veillonella parvula. RNAcentral describes it as "bacterial SSU rRNA". It matches the Rfam family "Bacterial small subunit ribosomal RNA", at positions 28 to 464 of the family's 1533-position model. The record is from RNAcentral. Lineage: Bacteria; Bacillati; Bacillota; Negativicutes; Veillonellales; Veillonellaceae.
GACGAACGCUGGCGGCGUGCUUAACACAUGCAAGUCGAACGAAGAGCGACGGAAGCUUGCUUCUAUCAAUCUUAGUGGCGAACGGGUGAGUAACGCGUAAUCAACCUGCCCUUCAGAGGGGGACAACAGUUGGAAACGACUGCUAAUACCGCAUACGAUCUAAUCUCGGCAUCGAGGAUAGAUGAAAGGUGGCCUCUACAUGUAAGCUAUCACUGAAGGAGGGGAUUGCGUCUGAUUAGCUAGUUGGAGGGGUAACGGCCCACCAAGGCGAUGAUCAGUAGCCGGUCUGAGAGGAUGAACGGCCACAUUGGGACUGAGACACGGCCCAGACUCCUACGGGAGGCAGCAGUGGGGAAUCUUCCGCAAUGGACGAAAGUCUGACGGAGCAACGCCGCGUGAGUGAUGACGGCCUUCGGGUUGUAAAGCCCUGUUAAUCGGGACGAAAGGCCUUCUUGCGAA